Scylla paramamosain (green mud crab) is the source of this 881-nucleotide long non-coding RNA. RefSeq lists it as uncharacterized. NCBI's taxonomy places the organism in Eukaryota, Metazoa, Arthropoda, Malacostraca, Decapoda, Portunidae. The record is from RefSeq and is a predicted model, not a curated record. The transcript is spliced from 2 exons.
GUUGUCAGUUUGUCUUUUAAGGUUUGUGAGAGGUACGUGUCUACGUAUUCGUGUCGUCAGUGGACAGUGACAUAUGUUGAAGACCACGGGAGUUAGGAAGCUAGCAGUGGGUGUAAGUGACGAGGCGUUGAGCAGCUCGAACGAGACCCUCCCUCACACGCACUACAGGGCUGAUGAUUCUCAACACCCUCAACACUGAUAACGUGGACAGCACCUUUAAAACUGCUACAUUUAGCCACCUCGGACUGGAAGGUAAUGUGAUUAUAUAAGUGAAGCAACCUAUCCUCACCUUCACUGUGUUUUGUGUUCUCUCUCAAUCUUAGCUUUUGUGACCUGCUGACAAUCUGCUCACAAAAAAAAAUUGGAAAUACAUAGAUUCUCAAUAAACUGCAGGACUUUAGAUUGAGGUAAAAAAGCUAAACACAAUGCAAAGAAACGACUUUCUCAAUCUUAAAAGUUCUGAUCUACUGAGCCUCCUCAUAGAAAAAAAAAUUAUGACAAAUUGAUUCCCAGCUAACCCGGUGACUUCAGACUGAGGGGAGAAGGUAAGCACAGAAUGAGGGAGGGGGAAGGAAUCCAGCAUGUUGUUUGAUAUUGACCAUGGCUGUACAUGUUACCCUGCCUCCCACGUGCUGCUCUCACCACAAGCACCGCCCCAGCCUGGAUGCGUUACAUUAAGGUGAAUUAAGGUCGGGGAGGUGGCGAAAAUGAGACAGGCAUUACCGGGACUCAAACAUGGCUCUCUCCAUCACUUCACCGUCAUACUGGUCACUCAAGCUUCAUCUCUGUGGAUCGGUUAUGCUCUCUCUCUCUCUCUCUCUCUCUCUCUCUCUCUCUCUCUCUCUCUCUCUCUCUCUCUCUCUCUCUCUCUCUCUCUCUCU